GCACCUCCAGAUGGUAGUCUCCAUGACCUGCAGCGUGGUCAUAUGGCAUCUGGGAGGGCGACAUGUGGCUGUAGUGUCUGUGGAACUUGGGGAUGGGCGUCUGGCCGGCGCUGCUGGGUGAAACUGUAAGACGUCAUACACUCACCUCCACUUUCAAUAAGGACGUCAAGAAGUUCGUCCAUCUGCUGGCUUCUGGCCAUCUGCUACAAAGGAGAUAACACACGUAUCACUUCUGCAAGCCAUCAAACUUCCAAAGCUGGCCUUGGGGGGCAGAUCAUGCAAUGUGUGAAAGCAAGGAGGCGUGCAUGACGAGUGAAGGCAGCAGAGAAGAGGAAUAGUGUGGUUGUCAGCAAAUAAGCCAGAAGCUGGUGCAGUGGAGGAAGGCACAGGCUGCUAUCAGCUGUGAUUGGGGGACUUGUUUACCUGCUUCACUGCAUCUUCAUAGCAUGGGGGCUGUUUAAUGGCAGAUGCAGAGUCUGAGCUACAGAAGGCAGUGGUGGAGGCAGCACACUUUUGGUCAACAUGUCUGGGAGAGUGUAAUAUUGCCAUCUAAAUGAGGAAAUAGGGUGAAAUGUUACACCUCAGACAAGGAAGGAGGGACCGGAGAAAAGCUGAGGAGGUCUCUAAGGUCACAAAGUGUCAAGUUCAUGUGAAGCAGGCACUGUGGCCCAGUCCCAUUUCACCCACCCAAUUUGUAGCACCUCUCCAUAUUAACAGGUACAGGUAGGGAGCCUUUAUUCUUGUUGGGAUAGAGGGGCACAUUCCGGAUGCGGAUGGAGAUGUUAUGAGAAAUGACUAGCAACAUGACAAUAGCUAUUAUGAUACAUACUGUACUGUCUUAGUUUAUUGUAAUUUCAAUGGAUAAAAUUAUGGAUAGUAAAAUAAAAAAAAAAACAAAUCGGUAGAAGUAUAUACAUUUUCCAUUCAAACCUAAAUGAUGCAGCAGUUUGUCACAUUCUGUCACUUGAGGCUGCUGCUUGAUUUAAUGUGGAAUAAGAUGGUUUGAACAAGAAGCUUAAUUUCCCAUUCCAUCUUAGAAUGUAACUGCCACACCAUUUAAGGGGGAGUGGGAAAUUAAGCUUCUUGUUUGAAUAUUCUAAUUUCACCUUAAAUUAAGUCUUGGUGACAGAAAUGUAACUGGUGCACAGUUUGUCACUGAAAGCUUGAUUUAAGGUGAAAUUAUAUGAUUUGAACAAAAGUCUUAUUUCCUGUUCCACCUUAAAUUGUGCAGCAGUUACACUCUGCAUGUUUUGCCAUAUAAAAGAGGAAAAGGAACAGCAGUUUUACUUUUCUGCCUAUUUGGUCUGGAAUUAUCUAUAAACAGUAGUUCACGUAUUACUGUAUGAAAUGUGUCUUUUCAUACCUCAAAUUCUUCUAUAUGUUUUGGCAUGUGAGAACCACAUGACCAUAAUCAUGCCCAUUCAGAGACUUGUGACUUCUUUUCAUGUUUAUACAGUUGAGUGAAUGCAGUGAAGACAUGUGAUCAGAUAGUUAUGGGGAUAAUUAAGUAUUAAGAAUGAUCUGAUGGUGUGAAAUUAAAGAACCAGGGUAAACGUGAGAAUUAGUUUGCUGACAGAUAGGAAGCAUCACAAGAGUGAAAUGUGGGAAAUGGUCAGCUUUGUGUGUGAUGGGUUCUCCAGCUAGAUUUUGUGCAUGAAUAAGGUUAAGAAGGUGGGAUAAUCUGGAUUAGUCGCAUCUCCUCACAAACCUUGUGC
Molecule: long non-coding RNA, 1715 nt
Organism: Astyanax mexicanus (Mexican tetra)
Lineage: Eukaryota; Metazoa; Chordata; Actinopteri; Characiformes; Acestrorhamphidae
Exons: 3
Source: RefSeq, a predicted model, not a curated record